Molecule: ribosomal RNA, 744 nt
Filed under: uncultured bacterium
Lineage: Bacteria
Description: bacterial SSU rRNA
Rfam family: Bacterial small subunit ribosomal RNA
Source: RNAcentral
AGAGUUUGAUCAUGGCUCAGAACGAACGCUGGCGGCAGGCCUCAAACAUGCAAGUCUAGGGGGCGUAGCAAUACGUCACCGGCGGACGGGUGCGUAACACGUGGGAAUGUACCUAUUGGUUCGGAACAACGCAGGGAAACUUGCGCUAAUACCGGAUGUGCCCGAAAGGGGAAAGAUUUAUCGCCAAUAGAUCAGCCCGCGUAGGAUUAGCUAGUUGGUAGGGUAACGGCCUACCAAGGCAACGAUCCUUAGCUGUUCUGAGAGGAAGAUCAGCCACACUGGGACUGAGACACGGCCCAGACUCCUACGGGAGGCAGCAGUUGGGAAUCUUGGACAAUGGGGGAAACCCUGAUCCAGCCAUGCCGCGUGAGUGAUGAAGGCCUUAGGGUUGUAAAGCUCUUUUACCCGGGAAGAUAAUGACUGUACCGGGAGAAUAAGCUCCGGCUAACUUCGUGCCAGCAGCCGCGGUAAUACGAAGGGGGCUAGCGUUGUUCGGAAUUACUGGGCGUAAAGCGCGCGCAGGCGGCCAAACAAGUCAGGGGUGAAAGCCCAGAGCUCAACUCUGGAACUGCCUUUGAAACUUUUUGGCUAGAGGACGGGAGAGGUGAGUGGAAUUCCCAGUGUAGAGGUGAAAUUCGUAGAUAUUGGGAAGAACACCGGUGGCGAAGGCGGCUCACUGGCCCGUUUCUGACGCUCAGGCGCGACAGCGUGGGGAUCAAACAGGAUUAGAUACCCUAGUAGUCC